AGAACGAACGCUGGCGGCAUGCCUAACACAUGCAAGUCGAACGAGACCUUCGGGUCUAGUGGCGCACGGGUGCGUAACGCGUGGGAAUCUGCCCUGGGGUACGGAACAACAGUUAGAAAUGACUGCUAAUACCGUAUGAUGACGUAAGUCCAAAGAUUUAUCGCCCUGGGAUGAGCCCGCGUAGGAUUAGCUUGUUGGUGAGGUAAAGGCUCACCAAGGCGACGAUCCUUAGCUGGUCUGAGAGGAUGAUCAGCCACACUGGGACUGAGACACGGCCCAGACUCCUACGGGAGGCAGCAGUGGGGAAUAUUGGACAAUGGGCGAAAGCCUGAUCCAGCAAUGCCGCGUGAGUGAUGAAGGCCCUAGGGUUGUAAAGCUCUUUUACCCGGGAUGAUAAUGACAGUACCGGAGAAUAAGCCCCGGCUAACUCCGCGCCAGCAGCCGC
This 445-nucleotide ribosomal RNA is filed under the name uncultured bacterium. Its description in RNAcentral is "SSU rRNA". It matches the Rfam family "Bacterial small subunit ribosomal RNA", at positions 26 to 518 of the family's 1533-position model. The record is from RNAcentral.